GCCAGGCAUGGUUGCAUGCACCUGUAAUCCCAGCUACUUGGGAGGCUGAGGCAGAAGAAUUGCUUGAACCCGGGGGACAGAGGUUGCAGUGAGCUACGAUUGAACCACUGCACCCCAUCCUGGGCAACAGAGCAAGACUCCAUCUCAUAAAAAANNNNNNNNNNUUUUUUAUGAGAUGGAGUCUUGCUCUGUUGCCCAGGAUGGGGUGCAGUGGUUCAAUCGUAGCUCACUGCAACCUCUGUCCCCCGGGUUCAAGCCAUUCUCCUGCCUCAG
Molecule: non-coding RNA, 273 nt
Organism: Chlorocebus sabaeus (green monkey)
Lineage: Eukaryota; Metazoa; Chordata; Mammalia; Primates; Cercopithecidae
Rfam family: Metazoan signal recognition particle RNA
About the family: The signal recognition particle (SRP) is a universally conserved ribonucleoprotein. It is involved in the co-translational targeting of proteins to membranes.
Source: Rfam